GGGGAAUCUUGCACAAUGGGGGCAACCCUGAUGCAGCGACGCCGCGUGAGCGAUGAAGCCCUUCGGGGCGUAAAGCUCUUUCGACCGGAACGAUAAUGACGGUACCGGGAGAAGAAGCUGCGGCUAACUACGUGCCAGCAGCCGCGGUAAUACGUAGGCAGCAAGCGUUGUUCGGAGUUACUGGGCGUAAAGAGUGCGUAGGCGGUUUUCUAAGUUCGGUGUGAAAUCUCCCGGCUUAACUGGGAGGGUGCGCCGAAGACUGGGAAGCUGGAGUGUGGGAAGCAAACA
This 288-nucleotide ribosomal RNA is filed under the name uncultured bacterium. RNAcentral describes it as "partial 16S ribosomal RNA". It matches the Rfam family "Bacterial small subunit ribosomal RNA", at positions 356 to 663 of the family's 1533-position model. The record is from RNAcentral.